RNAcentral lists this non-coding RNA (233 nucleotides) under Mesobacillus selenatarsenatis. RNAcentral's name for it is "Bacillus selenatarsenatis T-box sequence". It matches the Rfam family "T-box leader". From Rfam's summary of the family: Uncharged tRNA acts as the effector for transcription antitermination of genes in the T-box leader family. T-boxes are found upstream of many aminoacyl-tRNA synthetase genes and some amino acid biosynthetic genes usually in Gram-positive bacteria. The anticodon of a specific tRNA base pairs to a specifier sequence within the T-box motif, and the NCCA acceptor tail of the tRNA base pairs to a conserved bulge in the T-box antiterminator hairpin. Lineage: Bacteria; Bacillati; Bacillota; Bacilli; Caryophanales; Bacillaceae. The record is from RNAcentral.
UUUAAAUCGAUGAAAAGGAAAGUAGUUUUUGCUAUAUUCGAUAGCGAGCUGGGGACGGUGGAAGCCUGGCGAUGCAGCAUAAAUGAAGAACACCUUUGAGUUCUAACCGAAAGAGAUAACUUGAGUAGGCUUAGACGUUUCCAGCACGUUAUAGACUGGGAUAGCAGUAGUAAAGUUGGUCAUUUUAUGACAAUUUGGGUGGUACCGCGGAAGUUCAGCCUUUCGUCCCUAUU